ACGCGUCCAUCGGUAACGUGACCGGCUCCAAUGCGGUGAACGUGUUCCUGGGCCUGGGUGUGGCCUGGUCGGUGGCCGCAGUGUACUGGGCGGUGCAGGGUCGCCCCUUCGAGGUGCGUACAGGCACGCUGGCCUUCUCGGUCACACUGUUCACCGUCUUCGCCUUCGUGGGCAUCGCAGUGCUCUUGUACCGGCGCCGGCCCACAUCGGCGGCGAGCUGGGCGGCCCGCGGGGACCCAAGCUAGCCACCACCGCUCUCUUCCUGGGCCUCUGGUUCCUCUACAUUCUCUUCGCCAGCCUGGAGGCUUAUUGCCACAUUCGGGGCUUCUAGGGCCCCAGCCGCUACCCUGAGGGUGGGGACUUGUUGGCACUUGCUCUUGGACCCACCCCUGUCUCCCUACCCAGACUCAACCUGGGUACUUCCU
RNAcentral lists this long non-coding RNA (425 nucleotides) under Rattus norvegicus (Norway rat). RNAcentral's name for it is "long non-coding RNA NONRATT000378". Lineage: Eukaryota; Metazoa; Chordata; Mammalia; Rodentia; Muridae. The record is from RNAcentral.